CGGAAUAUGGCGUAGUCAGGUAGCGCUUCUGUUUUGGGAAUAGAAAGUCAUAGGUUCAAAUCCUAUUAUUCCGA
Molecule: non-coding RNA, 74 nt
Organism: Eimeria praecox
Lineage: Eukaryota; Apicomplexa; Conoidasida; Eucoccidiorida; Eimeriidae
Source: Rfam